GAUCCGGUAGUUCAGCUGGUUAGAAUGCCGCCCUGUCACGGCGGAGGUCGCGGGUUCGAGUCCCGUCCGGAUCGCUA
Molecule: transfer RNA, 77 nt
Filed under: Chryseobacterium nematophagum
Lineage: Bacteria; Pseudomonadati; Bacteroidota; Flavobacteriia; Flavobacteriales; Weeksellaceae
Description: tRNA-Asp
Rfam family: tRNA
About the family: Transfer RNA (tRNA) molecules are approximately 80 nucleotides in length. Their secondary structure includes four short double-helical elements and three loops (D, anti-codon, and T loops).
Source: RNAcentral